Molecule: long non-coding RNA, 310 nt
Filed under: Elaeis guineensis (African oil palm)
Lineage: Eukaryota; Viridiplantae; Streptophyta; Magnoliopsida; Arecales; Arecaceae
Description: long non-coding RNA (EGUI_LNC029687)
Source: RNAcentral
AAAAAAAAAAUGAAGAGGAGUCCGAUUUCUUUCUGAUUCCAGGGUAUUAGGACUCUGAAUUUCCUCGCUUAACCCCGGAUUUUUGGAUAUAAGAGAGAAGCCCUUCCCUCCUCUCUAACAUCAACCCUUGAAGCCUCCGUUUGGAACCGGAUUCAGAGCUCUUUCGUGAAGAAGUCCAUGGGAUUUUCUGAUGAUUCGGCCGUGAGAUCUCGCGGAUGGCAAGGUAGGCCGCUAAACCUUUCUCUUCUCCUUUAUUCCAGUGCUCCGAGAGAUCGUCGUCGCUCGGAUUUAGGUGACGAGUUGUCGGAUU